RNAcentral lists this RNase P RNA (229 nucleotides) under Lachnospiraceae bacterium. RNAcentral describes it as "partial RNase P RNA component class A". It matches the Rfam family "Bacterial RNase P class A", at positions 146 to 367 of the family's 367-position model. From Rfam's summary of the family: Ribonuclease P (RNase P) is a ubiquitous endoribonuclease, found in archaea, bacteria and eukarya as well as chloroplasts and mitochondria. The record is from RNAcentral. Lineage: Bacteria; Bacillati; Bacillota; Clostridia; Lachnospirales; Lachnospiraceae.
GGGUAAGGGUGGAAUGGCGGUGUAAGAGACCACCGGUUUUCCGGUAACGGAAAAUGCUGUGCAAACCCCACCUGAAGCAAGGCCAAACAGGGGACCAUACGGCGGCCCGUCGUGUCUCCGGGUAGGCCGCGUUCCGGAAUGGCAACAUUUCGGAGGAGCUGUCCGGUGACGGACAGUCAAGAUAGAUGACCAUCUAUUACAUAACCCGGCUUAUAGUGCUGCUCUAAAA